UACGUAGGGUGCGAGCGUUGUCCGGAAUUACUGGGCGUAAAGAGCUCGUAGGUGGUUUGUCGCGUUGUUCGUGAAAACCCGCAGCUCAACUGCGGGCCUGCAGUCGAUACGGGCAGGCUAGAGUUCGGUAGGGGAGACUGGAAUUCCUGGUGUAGCGGUGAAAUGCGUAGAUAUCGGGAGGAACACCAGAGGCGAAGGCGGCCACCUGGACGAACACUGACGCUGAGACGCGAAAGCGUGGGGAGCAAACAGG
Molecule: ribosomal RNA, 253 nt
Filed under: uncultured bacterium
Lineage: Bacteria
Description: partial 16S ribosomal RNA
Rfam family: Bacterial small subunit ribosomal RNA
Source: RNAcentral